RNAcentral lists this ribosomal RNA (143 nucleotides) under Hoheria x allanii. RNAcentral describes it as "5.8S ribosomal RNA". The stretch from base 42 to 143 matches the Rfam family "5.8S ribosomal RNA", at positions 1 to 102 of the family's 154-position model. From Rfam's summary of the family: 5.8S ribosomal RNA (5.8S rRNA) is a component of the large subunit of the eukaryotic ribosome. It is transcribed by RNA polymerase I as part of the 45S precursor that also contains 18S and 28S rRNA. Lineage: Eukaryota; Viridiplantae; Streptophyta; Magnoliopsida; Malvales; Malvaceae. The record is from RNAcentral.
GCAGCAGUGGCGCUGCUACUCUUGUCGUGAAAAUACAAAACGACUCUCGGCAACGGAUAUCUCGGCUCUCGCAUCGAUGAAGAACGUAGCGAAAUGCGAUACUGGGUGUGAAUUGCAGAAUCCCGUGAACCAUCGAGUCUUUG